Molecule: unclassified non-coding RNA, 248 nt
Filed under: Hevea brasiliensis (rubber tree)
Lineage: Eukaryota; Viridiplantae; Streptophyta; Magnoliopsida; Malpighiales; Euphorbiaceae
Source: RNAcentral
AGACAAUUGUCUGUAGCCAGUUCACAGGCACUUGCAGAGGAGCAUUCGAGGAUGUUCCAAGUUGCAGGAGGCGGUGUAUUGAAGAGGAAGGAGCCAGAUGGAGUGUGGGAAGGUUAUAAGCAAUCAUCAUGGCAAUAGAGAUGCGCUUGCACAGUCUGGUCUUUCCUGUCGGAUGGGUGCACUCUCAGGAUGGUCAUCGAAUUUGUGCUCUUUAAGGAUGGUGGUAAGUGAGUUAUUUGAUGUUGAUC